RNAcentral lists this ribosomal RNA (253 nucleotides) under uncultured bacterium. RNAcentral's name for it is "partial 16S ribosomal RNA". It matches the Rfam family "Bacterial small subunit ribosomal RNA", at positions 524 to 776 of the family's 1533-position model. The record is from RNAcentral.
UACGUAGGGGGCUAGCGUUGUCCGGAAUCAUUGGGCGUAAAGAGCGUGUAGGCGGUCCGGUAAGUCCGCUGUGAAAGUCGGGGGCUCAACCCUCGAAUGCCGGUGGAUACUGUCGGGCUAGAGUACGGAAGAGGCAAGUGGAAUUCCUGGUGUAGCGGUGGAAUGCGCAGAUAUCAGGAGGAACACCUAUAGCGAAGGCAGCUUGCUGGGACGUUACUGACGCUAAGGCGCGAAAGCGUGGGGAGCGAACAGG